UGCAGCUGCUAUUACUUGCCAGACUGACAGACAUAUUAGCUUUUAUCCCCCCUAAUGCUCGGGCUACAGAAAGUUUCCCUUCAUUUUAUUCCAUUUUGAUUUGAGGGGAGAGAUCAAGGUAAAGGUGCAGAAAGUACAGAAACACAAAGAAGCUACGGUGCACUUGAAUGUUGGUCUUCAUAUAUUUAAGAUGUGAUGAUUCCUGACAGCAACAGUGUCUUCAGAAUCAGGCACUGAAGGAAGGCGACCUCUAACAGACGAAUGGCAGUGCUCAAAUUCAGAUUUAAGAACCGGAUUAUGAUGAAGUGAUAGCACUCCUAUAUGACUGUCAACAUUUACUCUUUAUUCCAG
Molecule: long non-coding RNA, 351 nt
Organism: Cygnus olor (mute swan)
Lineage: Eukaryota; Metazoa; Chordata; Aves; Anseriformes; Anatidae
Exons: 4
Source: RefSeq, a predicted model, not a curated record